Molecule: ribosomal RNA, 402 nt
Filed under: bacterium
Lineage: Bacteria
Description: partial 16S ribosomal RNA
Rfam family: Bacterial small subunit ribosomal RNA
Source: RNAcentral
UGGGGAAUUUUGCACAAUGGGGGAAACCCUGAUGCAGCGACGCCGCGUGAUUUAGAAGGCCUUCGGGUUGUAAAAAUCUUUUCUAUGGGAAGAAAAUGACAGUACCAUAGGAAUAAGGACCGGCUAAUUACGUGCCAGCAGCCGCGGUAAUACGUAAGGUCCGAGCGUUGUCCGGAAUCAUUGGGCGUAAAUGGUACGUAGGCGGGUAAGCAAGUUAGAAGUGAAAUCCUAUAGCUCAACUAUAGUAAGCUUUUAAAACUGCUCAUCUUGAGGUAUGGAAGGGAAAGUGGAAUUCAUAGUGUAGCGGUGAAAUGCGCAGAUAUUAGGAGGAAUACCGGUGGCGAAGGCGGCUUUCUGGCCAUAACCUGACGCUGAGGUACGAAAGCGUGGGUAGCAAACAGG